This is a long non-coding RNA of Zingiber officinale, 474 nucleotides long. RefSeq lists it as uncharacterized. The transcript is spliced from 2 exons. The record is from RefSeq and is a predicted model, not a curated record. NCBI's taxonomy places the organism in Eukaryota, Viridiplantae, Streptophyta, Magnoliopsida, Zingiberales, Zingiberaceae.
CACACCUAUCAAUUUGUCAGAUUUUUUUUUUUUUCAGUUUCUUAAAAAGACUAAAUUCUGCGAUUUAAUGAUCAGAUAUGCAUCGACAUGGCAAUGGAGACAAGCCCUUUAGCAUUACCUUCCAUUUUAGAGAGAUGUUUCCUCACUUUUCCUGCGCAUCCUUGGCAAUGGAUUGAAACUCUCAUGACCACCACCUUUAUGGUGCAAGUUGAUUGAACAUUAAAACAGCGGCGGCGACGGCGGUGGCUGUGGGCCGUAGUCGUGAGUCGGAUCUUUGCUUCUUUGUAACCAUCGGGAGGGUGACUGCCCGACUCCGGCUGCCAGAGCUGAGUCUCCGAGAGUCGACAAGGCGGGAAUACCCACGCGGUAGUAUCAUCAACCGGGGAUCGCCUGGGACGCAAACCGCCGUCGAGGCCUGUGACCGGCAGAGAAAUCCGCUGGCCUUCAUGAGCGAGGGAGAGAGAUGAAGAGGCU